UACGUAGGGGGCAAGCGUUGUCCGGAAUUAUUGGGCGUAAAGAGCGUGUAGGCGGCUCGGUAAGUCUGCUGUGAAAGUCCAAGGCUCAACCUUGGAAUGCCGGUGGAUACUGUCGAGCUCGAGUCCGGAAGAGGCGAGUGGAAUUCCUGGUGUAGCGGUGAAAUGCGCAGAUAUCAGGAGGAACACCAAUGGCGAAGGCAGCUCGCUGGGCCUGAACUGACACUGAGACACGAAAGCGUGGGGAGCAAACAGG
RNAcentral lists this ribosomal RNA (253 nucleotides) under uncultured bacterium. RNAcentral describes it as "partial 16S ribosomal RNA". It matches the Rfam family "Bacterial small subunit ribosomal RNA", at positions 524 to 776 of the family's 1533-position model. The record is from RNAcentral.